RNAcentral lists this non-coding RNA (63 nucleotides) under pig gut metagenome. The record is from RNAcentral.
GUAACAACGAACGGCAGGAAGUCAGCAGAGGUCAUAGUAGCGGAAAGAGAGUCCGUGAAGGAC